RNAcentral lists this non-coding RNA (30 nucleotides) under Mus musculus (house mouse). Lineage: Eukaryota; Metazoa; Chordata; Mammalia; Rodentia; Muridae. The record is from RNAcentral.
UGUUAUUAAUCAAUGCCCACUGAUGUUGUU